Molecule: transfer RNA, 73 nt
Filed under: Stegodyphus mimosarum
Lineage: Eukaryota; Metazoa; Arthropoda; Arachnida; Araneae; Eresidae
Rfam family: tRNA
About the family: Transfer RNA (tRNA) molecules are approximately 80 nucleotides in length. Their secondary structure includes four short double-helical elements and three loops (D, anti-codon, and T loops). Further hydrogen bonds mediate the characteristic L-shaped molecular structure. tRNAs have two regions of fundamental functional importance: the anti-codon, which is responsible for specific mRNA codon recognition, and the 3' end, to which the tRNAs corresponding amino acid is attached (by aminoacyl-tRNA synthetases). tRNAs cope with the degeneracy of the genetic code in two manners: having more than one tRNA (with a specific anti-codon) for a particular amino acid; and 'wobble' base-pairing, i.e. permitting non-standard base-pairing at the 3rd anti-codon position.
Source: Rfam by way of RNAcentral
GCCUUCGUGGUUUAGUGGACAGCACUCUCGACGCGUAACCGAGAAGUUCGUGGUUCGAUUCCCGUCGAAGGCG